AGUUGCGAUCAUGCCAGCACUAAUGCACUGGAUCCCAUCAGAACUUCGCAGUUAAGCGUGCUUGGGCGAGAGUAGUACUGGGAUGGGUGACCUCC
Molecule: ribosomal RNA, 95 nt
Filed under: Medicago citrina
Lineage: Eukaryota; Viridiplantae; Streptophyta; Magnoliopsida; Fabales; Fabaceae
Source: RNAcentral